Molecule: long non-coding RNA, 4817 nt
Organism: Myotis brandtii (Brandt's bat)
Lineage: Eukaryota; Metazoa; Chordata; Mammalia; Chiroptera; Vespertilionidae
Exons: 3
Source: RefSeq, a predicted model, not a curated record
UAAAAUUUACUUAAAAUAAUCAUUACAAUGUAAAAAAAAAGGAAGGAGACCUCAUGGCCUUCCUUUGAACAAUGCACACCUGUCCUCCCAACUGCCGCCCCUAUAGAAAUCCCCUACGAGAUAAGCAUCUGUACACCUUUCCAUAAAAAUUUCGGAAUGCCAGACAUUUUUAUGCAGAACAAUUUUGGCCUCUCCUCAGAGGCAGGUGUGACCAGAGCCAACCUGUCUGGAGUGGCUUUUUACGUGGGAGUCCUCAGCAGUGUCAACAAGCAUAACGAUGUUAUGUUACUGGGCUCCGCCCCUGGGAACCAGCGCACACCUUUACGGAGGGACCGAGUUUACCUUCCUUGUCCCUUCAUAGCUUGGAUUAAAAAUUGCCCAGAGUUCAAAUAUUUAAUGUUCUUCCUUAUUUCCCAUUCCUGGAAUGUCUCAUUGUGGCACGGCUUGUGGCCAAUGUGUGGUGUUCCUCCCUCGCCAGGUACUGGGCAAGGUCUCACUUUGGGGCUACCUCAGCCCGAACAUGCACCCAUGACCUUUGCACCUUUGGGGCGGCUUCCUAGGUUGUUCUGUAUUGCGUUAUUUUCCUUUCUGGGUCGCAGCAAGUGAUUUAGUUUUUAUCUUAUGAUCAAUUUUCUACAAAUUUCACAGCACGUGGUCUGAUUUGUUCUGUGACCGUGGGGCGUUGGCGGCUCAGAGGCAGCGGGCCAGGGGCAAAGGAAGAAUCGUCCUACAGAAUGUCCUGCGCUGUAGGUGCCAACUUGUGGCCUUUCAAAAAUGAAGCUCAGACAGCAGGACCAAGAGAGCCAGCCUCAGUGAGUGGGAGUGACCUGCACAGCCACCUCUCCCUCCAGAGUCAGGAGCCCUUUCAACUUCGGGCUCCGAGGCCAAGCGUGCUCACUUCAGGUCCUUUCCUGUAAGGUAAUCUUGGGGACACUGGGGCUUCCCCAUGGCCUGGGUCAAUUUUGUUGAAUGGACUCUGGACUCUUUUAAAAGGACCUGAUCCUUUUGAAUUUUGCACAGCCCUAAACAUAAUCCCUUUGAUAAAAGGGUCUUUGCUCCUGAUUAUCAGAACACUAUGGAACGUCUGUAAAUAUCCUAUAUAAUAAAAGGCUAAUAUGCAAAUAGACCAAAAGGUGGAACAACUGAACAACCAGUCGAUAUGCUGUGCGCUGACCACCAGGGGCCAUGUGUGGAAGAUGGCGGGCAUCAGCUGCGGCGGGAUGGUGGAGCAGGCCAGUCUGGUGCUCAGACCCUUUAGCCUCAUUUUAAGUUGCCAACACAAGAACAAAGCGUGUGACUUGUCAAUGUGCAGCAAGACAUCAUUAAAGACUGAUGUUAACCUCGGAGUCCAGCCUAGCCUUGGAGCCUCGGAGCCGAGCCUCAGAGCCUUGGAGAGCCAAGCUGAGCCACGAAGAGCUGAGCUAGUCCCGAAAAAACACAACCAGAAAAAGGUUAGGAGGGAAAAACAAAGGGGUUUAACUGAUUUGGGUUGGCAUUUUUCUGAUGACAAACAUUCAAAGGACCCUUCUACAGAAACACCUUGUUUGUUGGUGUGCAUUUGGGGGAGGAGGAAGUUCUUGAGGGACUUUUCAUACCAGAAGGACUUUCGGCUUAAAGUUUUUCAUCCCCGUGGGCCUCCAGUUUAGCCCCUUGGCCAGGCAUAACCCAUCAUUCCCUGCAUGGUCCUGCCCUGACCCGGGCUCCAGAUGCUUCAGCAAAUGGAAAUGCGGAUCAUUUCUGUGGCUCUGUAAACACCCGGCUUACCCAGAAGCACAUCCAGCCAGCCAGUCCCCCAAAGCCAAGCCAACUCUGGGCUCCGUACUUAAUGUCCUUGUUCCUUGUCACCCCAAACAAGGUGGACUAAGUGGCCCAGCCAAUCUGCUCUUUUCUACUUUUCUUUUCCUUGUUUUUUUAUUCUCUGUUCUAUAAAAGCUUCCUGCCUUCUGCCCCACAUGGAGACUGUCCAUGUCAUGAAAUGUUAAUGUUUGUUUGUAUCAUCAAAAUUGUCUUUUGUAAUCAUGGUGUAACAUGUACUGGCAUGAACUGAAGUUUCCUAAGACAGAGAGGGGGCAUGUCACAUGACUAAGGGGAGCAGGAUAUGCCAUCCCCAAAUAUGCUGUUUGUCAUUCGCCUGUUAAUCUGUCUUUUAUUGCAGGGGUCUCAACUAAGAAUGCAGAAGAGAAGAGGGAAAUUAGUUUUUCCUUCCUUACAAUUUCCUACAUUUAUUUAAUCAGACGUUUUCUCACCUCCUCCCCUUUUUCGGUUUGGGAAGCUUGCCAAGGGGUGCUUUGGGAAAUGCUAACCUAGGGACAUAUAUAUUACUAAGUAAAAUUUAAGCCCACUGCCGAUGCCUAUUCUGGCUCUUUGGCUCAGAGAAGAUAUGUUCUUGGCAAUGCAACCUGGAAAUCAGAAUGCAUUUUCCAUAAAAACAAUGCAGCUAGAUGUAAUUGAAAUAGUACGAUUAGAGCUAUAAUUUGGAUGUAUGUGGGCCAAUUGAGCUUUUGUGGACUAGUCUGGAAAUCAAACACCAGGGACAGAGACGUCACGAGGGGAGAAUCCACGGGGGGUUGCAAGAAGAUUAGAAACAUACAUGUGAACUUCGACAUGCUUACUCGGGGAGCUGACUUUGAAUUCUCAAAGCAAAGCUUUUUAUUAAGCUUAAAUUGUGCACCCACUUUUUGAAUGACUGAACCUAACGCGAACUGUUCCUACUUGUUGCCAGCUCAUUGCCUUAAAAUUCUGAGUCGUUCUUUCAUGUUAAAUUUUUCUUAAGAAUUACAAAAAAAAUCUUGAGUAAAUGUCUUACAAUUAUAAUCAGCUUUACUUGUUGCUAUGGAGUUUUGCUUGGUUAUAAAUUCUUCAUCUACUGCUCCUAUUUCAGAAAAAAACAUUCAACUGACUAAGUUUUAAAGAUCUGAUUGGCUUCAUUCAAUAAUUCAUGAAUUGGGCAGCAUCCCAUCUAGCCGUUAGAAAGGAGCUCCAAGGAGAUGAACAAAAUGAAACUGUUAUGCUGAGGAGGGGGUGAGACGAAGAAGUUCUUCACAAAGAGGGAUGAUUUCAGACAAGGUCGCCUUCCUUUGGAGGAUGUCAGAGUCCCUCACUAGGGCUGACCAGGUAAUUGCAGACGGACUGGUUUGAGAUUCCACUCCUGGGAGUGGCUGAAACAAUAACCAAGUUCGGUAUGAAGUCUAGCUUUGGUGACAGGGGCAUGGCACAGGUAGCUCUCUUUGGGGCCUGUCUCUUUUUCAUACUCCUCCUUCAGCUCAAGUUUCAACAGCUGAGCAAAUAUUCUGACUCUAAUGACAGACAAUACAUACAAUUUGUAAUAGUUUUAGUCUUCACUGUAGCAAUGCCUACCCAAGGAGUGCCAAGAAAAGAAAACAAAACUGGAAAGAUAUUUCAUAGUAGCGCCAACACAGAUCUUCAAGAAGAAAGAUUUGGAACGUUUCCUUUUAUUCAGGAUGGAAAUUUUGUCUAAACAGCUUGAGAACGAGAGAAGCCAUUUGUCAAAAGACUCAUUUUAAAACGUUUAAAUCUCAAGCUGUUAGUUGGGCAGCAGGCUCCUCACCAGCAAUUUUGUACUAACUUGUUUUUCUAGAAGAAAACAUGUUUAAUAUUUGUCAAAAUGAUUUUGAUGAUCUUAUUAUUCUAUGGUUGUCAGAGCAAAAUAAAAAUCAAGGCUAUACCAGGCCAGAUAAAUGUAACAUAAUAUUUUUUUUAAAAAAGAAGAUAUUAUAUUAAAUAAGAGUAAAAUCAAACUGCAACGGUAUAUCGGGCCUUGUUCUGAAGACUUAAGCUCGUACCACCCAUGAGAGCUGAGCAUUUGCCAUUCUAAGUUGCUCAGAUGUCUGAGCUCUUCUGCAGUGUAAGAGUGGAAACUUUAGAUGAAAGCGGAAGUAUUCAGAGGUGAAAUGGCAAAAUUUUUGAAGCUUAAUUUGAAACGGUGGCUUUGUAAUAUGUCAACUUAGCCAUGCUGAGCUAUGCUUCCCAGAAUUCCCUUUCCUGUAUGUUUCUAGUCAGGGUGGGCCACAAAAGACAUUCUUGGGAGGUUUUGAGGGCAGAAGAGAUGCAGCUGCCAUUCUGUGGGUCAUGCACACCUCACUGCAGAGCAGCUGGCUCACCCCUCGCCUUGUUGGCGGGAGCAAGCAGCCGGGCCUGCCACCAGUCCACCUCCCCUGGGAUCCCCUUCCCGCUUCUCUAGCUCCUGGGCCAGGUGUGUGUGUGGUGAGCUCUGCGAGGGAGGGCUCCAGCUCCUGCAGGACAUCUGCUUCGUCAAAGUUGGUGGUGGCGAGAAUGACAUAAAUCUACCAGUGGUAGAUUCUGUUGCUUUCUGAAGAUUAGCCAUCUGCCUGCCCAUCCUUGUGGGGUGCCAGUCUUGAUCUCCUACAUUUUAUAUCGAUUUUCCCUUCUGACUGCUGCCUUGUGGAUUUCAACCUCCAGCAUCAGAAACAAAGAUAACAGCCUUACAGAUACAUGGGAACAGAUGUCGCUAUGUAGCUAUGUAGACAUGGGGUGAUGGAUCUGCCUCUCUGAACUCUGGCACACACGACUACCUACAUAAAUAAAUAUAUGUGUGAUAUUGAAAGAAAGAAAUUCAAUACAACAAACUGUUAGUAUUCUUUAACCUAGAAAGCAGGUAUAUGAAUUUUCAUUUUACUAUUCUUUCAGCUGUUUUGUAUGUUUAAGCUUUUCCAUACAGACGAUUUGGGGAAAGAAAGAAUUGAUCUUAGUAAUGAGUGAAGUUCACAGAUUUUUUUUUACAGUGGCGUGUCCUAGCCUUUUUGUCUCUACCCGAAUAAAACUUGCCUUUGCUCUUA